GUGACCUCCCCUCUACUGGUGGUUUCAGUACGACGUGAGGCCACACGCUUGUACUUAAACAUUAUUUUAGUAAAUCAAGGUCCGUGCUUAGACUUCUAUAAUAAAGUGUCAUGUGCAGAAAGGAAAUGUGCGUUGUACGCACGGUCGUACCACGGUGACGUUAGUGUAAUGAAAAAAAAAGCGUAAUAACAAUGUGUGAUUCUACUUCGACUUCUCAUUUUCAUAAACAAAAAAAGAACAGACGAGAGGCACCGGAGAGCAACGAAAACCAUUCAAAAAGCAAGAAGCAAGAGAGGAAAUGCGAUUCCACUUCUAAGAGAGGAGACAGAAACAAGCGAAAAGAAAAGAGAAAGAGAGAUGCGAGUCGUGAUAGUUAUGAAGAGCCAGAACAAACUCGUGUUCAGGAUGCUGAUGCAGACAGACAUCGCACAGGAAGGAAACACAAGGAUCGAAAACACCAACGUCAUAAAAGAGAGGAAAGGGAAUCGCAAGAAAUGGAAAACAUUCGUAGUCAGAUUUCAUCACCUGUUAGAAAAACUGCAAUAGACGAUAAUUUUGAAGGUACAGACAAGAAGUAUCGCGAAUCGACAAUACCUUUUAAAAGUGAUGCAAAGUCUUCGCCGAAGUCCUCUGGUCUGAGUGAAGAAAACGAAUAUCAGGAUUACAACUUUGAUUUUGCGAAGUACAAACACUCUUUGAACAGAAUAUUCUUCCGAGAUAAGGACAUGAUCCAAAGAGGAUCAAAAGAAUAUGAAGAUUUCUGGGCAUUUCUUGAAAAGUAUCUGCAAUAUCAAAAGAAGAAACAUCAAGAGAGUGUUGCAGGUUCUGCAAAAGUAUCGCAUGCAAUACCAGGAACAUUGAAUAUACCCAACAAGUAUGACUGUCUGUACCGGAUUAACUUGAGUCUUAUAAGCCGUGAUGUGGAAGAUUUUAUCAAGAAAGGCCGACUUGUGGAUUAUGAUGUGGACCAAGAAUUAACUCGAGAGCAUGUCAGACAGUUCCAUGGCAUUCUGCAGCAUUAUCUAGACUUCACACAGAAACAAAAGUUUCAGAAGUUGAAAAAGAUUAAGCGUGAUCAGAAGAACCUUCCUAUUUACCAAUACUGUGAACAAAUCAUUGCCACCAUCCAUCAGCACCAAGUAGUGGUUGUUGCUGGAGACACUGGCUGUGGAAAAUCUACACAGGUUCCUCAGUACCUUUUGGAAGCAGGGUUUACAAAGAUAGCCUGUACCCAGCCUCGUCGCAUAGCCUGCAUCUCGCUUGCCAAGCGUGUUAGCUAUGAGACUCUGAAUGAGUAUGGUUCUCAAGUAGCCUUUCAGGUUCGGUUUGAGAAAUCUAAAACAAGUGCAACAAGAAUUCUUUUCCUCACAGAAGGUCUUCUGUUGCGCCAGAUGUCAACAGACUCACUUUUGUCACAGUACAGUGUCAUUGUCAUUGAUGAGGUUCAUGAACGUCACAUCCACACCGACUUUCUGCUUGGUGUUCUGAAGUGUCUGUUAAAACUGCGUUCUGACUUGAAGCUGGUUUUGAUGUCAGCAACCAUCAAUAUUUCUCUGUUCUCAGCAUACUUUGAUGGAGCGCCUGUUAUUAAGGUUCCUGGGCGUUUGUACCCUAUAGAGAUGGAGUACUGUCCCUUCAACAAGGCCAAUGAAAUGUAUGCAAGACCAGAGCGUCUUGACCCUACUCCAUAUAUUCGCAUAAUGCAGAGAAUUGACUCUAAGUAUUCAGCCAGUGAGCGAGGCGACAUGCUCAUUUUCCUGAGUGGAAUGACAGAAAUUAUGACAGUGGUGGAGGCAGCACGGAUGUAUAGCCAGCAGGUCAAAAGAUGGAUCGUCCUUCCACUGCAUAGUGCUUUAUCUGUGGAAGAGCAAGAAAAGGUCUUUGAUUAUCCACCGGAAGGAGUGAGAAAAUGUAUUGUUUCAACAAACAUAGCUGAGACUUCAGUCACCAUUGAUGGAGUUCGCUUUGUUGUGGAUUCUGGAAAAGUGAAGGAGAUGAGUUUUGACCCAAAGUACAAGAUGCAGCGUUUGAAAGAAUUCUGGAUCAGCCGUGCUAGUGCUGAACAGCGAAAAGGAAGAGCAGGGCGGACAGGACCAGGUGUUUGUUUUCGCCUUUAUGCAGAAUCAGACUAUGAUGCUUUCCAGGCAUACACCACCCCAGAGAUACAGCGUGUACCCCUAGAUUCACUUAUCUUGCAACUUGUCUCCAUGGGUUUAACAAAUGUUCGCAAAUUCCCAUUCAUUGAACCUCCAGACAUAUCCAGCAUUGAAAACUCGAUCAGCUAUCUCAAGGAGCAGGGAGCACUGGCAAGCGAUGAGAGCUUGACGCCUAUUGGACAGAUGCUAGCCAUGUUGCCAGUGGAUGUGGUCUUUGGCAAGAUGCUCAUAAUGGGCUCCAUUUUUCACAUGACUGAUCCAGUGCUGUCAGUAGCUGCAGCCUUGAGUGUUCAGUCUCCGUUCACCAGCAAAGCCCAUGUUGACCAUGAUGGCAUUGCUGCCCGCAGAGCUCUUGAGUCAGAUCACGGAGACCCGCUGACUCUACUGAAUGCUUUUGACGAGUGGAUUCAGGUUAAGGCUGAGGGACGUGGGACGCGCAAGUGGUGCCGAAGACGAUGCUUGGAGGAGCAGAGAUUUUACGAAAUGACAAAACUCAAAAAACAGUUUCAACAACUCCUGCAGGAUCACCAUCUUUUGGAUCGAGGUGGUGAUCAAAGGCAAUUCUUGACCAGUGAAGAACGUCGUCUGCAACAUGGGGAAAGAAAACGUUUAAACCAACUUCAGCGUCAGCUGCAGCAGAAAAGAAAAAAGUGUAGAGUCCUUCGCAUGGAAGAUGAGGAAUAUGCAGUUAGUGAUCAGGAAGAGGAUGAUCGGGGCUCUGAUAUCAGAGAUUUGGAGUUUCGUCUGUCACACAACUUGAAUCAGUUACAGGAGACAGCAAAUCACAGCCGUAGCUUCACAUUGCAAGACAUUAACCUGCUGAAGAUCAUCCUGUCUAGUGGCAUCUACCCACAAAUAGCUAUUGCUGAUGACUGCAACUCCUUUAAAGGAGACUCAGACCAGGCCUUCCACACCAAGAGCAAGCCCUUUGUUCUUCUGCACCCCACCAGCAUAUUUGCCAACCACUCCAAUCUCCUGAAGCCAGCAGAAGUGCCUGAGAAACAUGCUGGUCAUAUAGACCUGAAAGGGCAUCUGAGCACUAAGCAUGAGUUGUUGGCAUAUGGGUCACUGCUAGAAACCAAUGGCAAACCUUAUUUGGUUAACUGUAUGCGAGUGCCAGCCCUGCAGACAGUUACGCUCUUUGCUACUGCUAUUGAUACUAAUACAGAUUGUACAAGGCUAGUGUGUGAUGAAUGGCUGGAAAUUCACUUACCAGAUGCAGAGUCUGCAGACCAGGUGAUAUCCAGCAUUGUCAGUCUGAGAGCCACAUGGCAAAGCCUACUGCAGCUACGGCUAGAGGAUACUUUUCAAAGCUUGGAUGAAGACAGAAACAUCAGCCCACGUGCACGGCAGCUGGAACAGCUGUUGGCCCGGAAGCUAGCCGAGUUUUUGGACAGCUGCAUCCCAUACACACUUCGCCGCAUUUUAACUGCAGAGAUAACAAAGCAACAGGGAAGUUAAAUAUCUUGAAGAAAGAUCUCCACUUGAAGAAGGAACACCCCAUCAAAGGUGGCGUUCAAGUAAAUAGCUACCUGACCUUGAACUGCCUGCUAGAUGAAGCAUCAGCCAGUGUGUGGGAAGAGUAUACAGCCCACAUGCAGCGCCACUGGAAGUGCCCUCAGUGUGGUGAGAACAUGGUUGUGUCUGUAACUGAGAGAUUGCACCAUGAAAGCACCUGCCAGCACC
This 3842-nucleotide unclassified non-coding RNA is filed under the name Pomacea canaliculata. RNAcentral describes it as "probable ATP-dependent RNA helicase DHX34, transcript variant X1". Lineage: Eukaryota; Metazoa; Mollusca; Gastropoda; Architaenioglossa; Ampullariidae. The record is from RNAcentral.